GAUGAACGCUGGCGGCGUGCCUAAUACAUGCAAGUCGAGCGAACGGACGAGAAGCUUGCUUCUCUGAUGUUAGCGGCGGACGGGUGAGUAACACGUGGAUAACCUACCUAUAAGACUGGGAUAACUUCGGGAAACCGGAGCUAAUACCGGAUGAUAUUUUGAACCGCAUGGUUCAAAAGUGAAAGACGGUCUUGCUGUCACUUAUAGAUGGAUCCGCGCUGCAUUAGCUAGUUGGUAAGGUAACGGCUUACCAAGGCAACGAUGCAUAGCCGACCUGAGAGGAUGAUCGGCCACACUGGAACUGAGACACGGUCCAGACUCCUACGGGAGGCAGCAGUAGGGAAUCUUCCGCAAUGGGCGAAAGCCUGACGGAGCAACGCCGCGUGAGUGAUGAAGGUCUUCGGAUCGUAAAACUCUGUUAUUAGGGAAGAACAUAUGUGUAAGUAACUGUGCACAUCUUGACGUUACCUAAUCAGAAAGCCACGGCUAACUACGUG
Molecule: ribosomal RNA, 497 nt
Filed under: uncultured bacterium
Lineage: Bacteria
Description: partial 16S ribosomal RNA
Rfam family: Bacterial small subunit ribosomal RNA
Source: RNAcentral